GCUUUAAAGGAUAACAGCUCAUCCAUGGUCUUAGGACCAAAAACUCUUGGUGCAAAUCCAAGUGAAGCU
RNAcentral lists this transfer RNA (69 nucleotides) under Pseudogastromyzon fasciatus jiulongjiangensis. Its description in RNAcentral is "tRNA-Leu". The record is from RNAcentral. Lineage: Eukaryota; Metazoa; Chordata; Actinopteri; Cypriniformes; Gastromyzontidae.